This 73-nucleotide transfer RNA is filed under the name Brassica oleracea var. oleracea. It matches the Rfam family "tRNA". From Rfam's summary of the family: Transfer RNA (tRNA) molecules are approximately 80 nucleotides in length. Their secondary structure includes four short double-helical elements and three loops (D, anti-codon, and T loops). Further hydrogen bonds mediate the characteristic L-shaped molecular structure. tRNAs have two regions of fundamental functional importance: the anti-codon, which is responsible for specific mRNA codon recognition, and the 3' end, to which the tRNAs corresponding amino acid is attached (by aminoacyl-tRNA synthetases). tRNAs cope with the degeneracy of the genetic code in two manners: having more than one tRNA (with a specific anti-codon) for a particular amino acid; and 'wobble' base-pairing, i.e. permitting non-standard base-pairing at the 3rd anti-codon position. Lineage: Eukaryota; Viridiplantae; Streptophyta; Magnoliopsida; Brassicales; Brassicaceae. The record is from Rfam by way of RNAcentral.
GUACCAGUGGUCUAGUGGUAGAAUAGUACCCUACCAUGGUACAGACCCGGGGGUUUGAUUCUCGGCUGGUGCA